RNAcentral lists this transfer RNA (63 nucleotides) under Parachauliodes rastellus. RNAcentral describes it as "tRNA-Gly". Lineage: Eukaryota; Metazoa; Arthropoda; Insecta; Megaloptera; Corydalidae. The record is from RNAcentral.
AUUUAUAUAGUAUACAAAGUAUUUUUGACUUCCAAUCAAAAGGUCUAAAUUUUAGUAUAAAUA